Molecule: non-coding RNA, 1431 nt
Organism: Pelobates cultripes (western spadefoot toad)
Lineage: Eukaryota; Metazoa; Chordata; Amphibia; Anura; Pelobatidae
Source: the annotation of a GenBank genome assembly
GUUACUGUUCUUAAUUUGUUAGAUGUUUACUGUGAAAUAUAAAUCCUGGAAUGUAUUUCUCUGUUGUGUGUUUUUAGGUUGCAAUACUGAGCUGAGAAUAAUUCAUUUUCUAAUCGCUAUCAUUAACACAAUUUGUUUCUAUUAUGUGUAACUAUUUUUAAUUUCUAGGUUGUGUAAAUUACAAUAACAAUGACACACCGACUUUAUUUUAUCAGCAUUCACAUUUAUUUGUAAACAUUGUUUAGUUAAUCGAACCCUGUUGUAUUACGGGCAGUUGUUUACAUAACAUUCAAAGUAAAUAUUAUGAUUAGUGUAAACGGCAUUAAUCGUAAUAUCCUUCCCCUGUAUCAAAUAGGAUGUUUAAUCCUAACUAUUUGUAGCACAGCUUGUCUCCAGAAGAGCAUCCAUUUCUCGGAUCGCAUAGGACGUCUCCAAGUGAUAUUCCGAGUACAAUGCUUCCCUAGCAGCUUUUCAGGAAGAGAAGUUUAAUAGACGAGCCCCUUUAAGAUGAAAUUUACUCUUUACAACCUGGGGAUACAGUAUGAAAAUAUCAACACAAUGAACUAGGCUCUGAGGAUUCCCACAGAGGAGGAGCUACGCAGUAUAUUUUGGGACAUCCUCAGAUAAACAGUUGUAGCCUAAAUUGGUAUCCCAUGAGAUGUUAAGAGAAUUUGAGAUUACCCUCCAACAGCUGCUAAACCACUUAACCGUAUCACUGCCACAGGGGCAAGCAAUACAUCCAUUUCUUUCUGUUAUGUAUCAGAGAGACUCUGUAGCUAUUGUUGACUACCACUCCUAUCAUGCACAGCCAAGCCAUGGGAAAAAGCAGAGUGAAACAUGUUCCCUUGUAUGCUUUCGUUGAAAAAUAUCUGCAUAAAUCAUAUUAAUUAAAAAAAAGUACUCCGCCUACAGACAGACAGCCGGUGAAUUCUGUGAGGUGUGACAGCUACCAUCCUCAGCCAACCUAUCUGAUUGAUGGGAACUGAGGUCCAGAAGAAACAGACUGGGUAUUCAUGUGCAAUUGAAGGGACACUCUUAGCAACAUAACCUGUGCAGAUCAGCAUAGUGUUUAUGUUACCUAGAGUUUCUGAAUGCUUUAGUUUUAUAUUAAUUUGUUUAGGAACGGUGUGAUAAAAAAUUAUAAAUGGUCUCUGGUUUAAUUAAGAAUAGUUAAGGAAGUUGGUUACAAUGUUUGGUAUAAUGUUGGUGGGUUUCGAGCUCAGAACCUUGGGGGUGUAGGAGUAUCUGGGUAUACCCCUACCAGGAGGCGAUUAAUUAUGUUGCACUUUAUUUGUGUAUAUUUAUCGUUUGUUAUAUUGUUCUAAUAAUGUUUACAAUAUGGGUCAUUGCCUUUAUUUAUGACAUAUGGAAUAUAUAUUGUUAAUGUGUGGUGGGGCAAUGACUAUUAUUAAUAAAGCCGUGGACAUAUUG